GUCUACAGACACCGUCCCAGAAGCAGGAGGCUCCACUUCUCUUCCACUUCCCGCUGCAACCAAUAAAGGCCGUUCCUACCAAAUAAGAAAGUCAUUUUGACAUACUUACUAUGUUUCUGAGGCUACGCAAGAGAAGGAGGGGAAGAACACAAGCUUCCCAGAUGAAUCUUGGGCCAGCAAGAUUGCAUUUUAACCAGAAUGAAGAAGGAUGGAGGAGAGCAAUGUGAGAGAAGAAUACGAAAACGAUUGAACAACACAAUCAGGAAUACAGGGAAGGGAAACAUGGCUUCACAAUGGCCACGGAUGCCUUUGGGGACUGGGUGAGUGUGGUGUGGACAGGUAGACUCUGUGCUUCCUCUUCUCAGCUCU
Long non-coding RNA from Carlito syrichta (Philippine tarsier), 369 nucleotides. RefSeq lists it as uncharacterized. The transcript is spliced from 3 exons. The record is from RefSeq and is a predicted model, not a curated record. NCBI's taxonomy places the organism in Eukaryota, Metazoa, Chordata, Mammalia, Primates, Tarsiidae.